UUGGUGAGGUAAUAGCUCACCAAGGCUAAGACGGGUAGCUGGCGUGAGAGCGCGGUCAGCCACCGUGGAACCGAGAUACGGUCCACACUCCUACGGGAGGCAGCAAUUAGGAAUCUUGCGCAAUGGGGGCAACCCUGACGCAGCGACACAGUGUGGAGGAGGAAGGUCUUCGGAUUGUAAACUCCUUUUAUGAGGGAAGAAUAGAUGACGGUACCUCAUGAAUAAGCACCUGCUAACUACGUGCCAGAAGCAUCGGUGAUGCGUAGGGUGCGAACGUUAUCCGGAUUUAUUGGGCGUAUAGAGAAGCGUAGGUGUUUCUGUAAGUCUUUAGUUAAAGACCACGGCUCAACCGUGGAGAAGCUUUGGAAACUACAGGAAUAGAGACAGGAAUGGGCGAAUGGAAUUCCCAGUGGAGCGGUGAAAUGCGUUGAUAUUGGGAGGAACAUCAGUGGCGAAGGCGAUUCGCUGGUCCUUGUCUGACACUAAGGCUCGAAAGCGUGGGUAGCGAAACGGAUUAGAUACCCGUGUAGUCCACGCCGUAAACUAUGGACGCUAGGUGUUCGGUACAACUACUCAAUCCUUCGGGAUUGAAUGGA
RNAcentral lists this ribosomal RNA (596 nucleotides) under uncultured bacterium. RNAcentral's name for it is "bacterial SSU rRNA". It matches the Rfam family "Bacterial small subunit ribosomal RNA", at positions 249 to 859 of the family's 1533-position model. The record is from RNAcentral.